GAUGAACGCUGGCGGCGUGCCUAAUACAUGCAAGUCGAGCGAACGGACGAGAAGCUUGCUUCUCUGAUGUUAGCGGCGGACGGGUGAGUAACACGUGGAUAACCUACCUAUAAGACUGGGAUAACUUCGGGAAACCGGAUCUAAUACCGGAUAAUAUUUUGAACCGCAUGGUUCAACAGUGAAAGCCGGUCUUGCUGUCCCUUAUAGAUGGAUCCGCGCUGCAUUAGCUAGUUGGUAAGGUAACGGCUUACCAAGGCAACGAUGCAUAGCCGACCUGAGAGGGUGAUCGGCCACACUGGAACUGAGACACGGUCCAGACUCCUACGGGAGGCAGCAGUAGGGAAUCUUCCGCAAUGGGCGAAAGCCUGACGGAGCAACGCCGCGUGAGUGAUGAAGGUCUUCGGAUCGUAAAACUCUGUUAUUAGGGAAGAACAUAUGUGUAAGUAACUGUUCACAUCUUGACGGUACCUAAUCAGAAAGCCACGGCUAACUACGUG
RNAcentral lists this ribosomal RNA (497 nucleotides) under uncultured bacterium. RNAcentral's name for it is "partial 16S ribosomal RNA". It matches the Rfam family "Bacterial small subunit ribosomal RNA", at positions 28 to 507 of the family's 1533-position model. The record is from RNAcentral.